GCGGCGGUAGUUCAAUGGUAGAACCUCAGCCUUCCAAGCUGAUGACACGGGUUCGAUUCCCGUUCGCCGCUCCA
This 74-nucleotide transfer RNA is filed under the name Nitrospira sp. Its description in RNAcentral is "tRNA-Gly". It matches the Rfam family "tRNA". From Rfam's summary of the family: Transfer RNA (tRNA) molecules are approximately 80 nucleotides in length. Their secondary structure includes four short double-helical elements and three loops (D, anti-codon, and T loops). Further hydrogen bonds mediate the characteristic L-shaped molecular structure. tRNAs have two regions of fundamental functional importance: the anti-codon, which is responsible for specific mRNA codon recognition, and the 3' end, to which the tRNAs corresponding amino acid is attached (by aminoacyl-tRNA synthetases). tRNAs cope with the degeneracy of the genetic code in two manners: having more than one tRNA (with a specific anti-codon) for a particular amino acid; and 'wobble' base-pairing, i.e. permitting non-standard base-pairing at the 3rd anti-codon position. The record is from RNAcentral. Lineage: Bacteria; Pseudomonadati; Nitrospirota; Nitrospiria; Nitrospirales; Nitrospiraceae. RNAcentral also lists the same sequence under 8 other names.